AAAUUAAUUGUAACGGUGGGCUUGCUUCAUCCUACCUGCUUUUUUAGGUUUCCAUUAGGAAUUUCUCAAAUCUCUUUAUUGUAUCCAUCAGGAAUGCCAGGUCUCGUGGAUCAGGUGAGCUUCAGAAGGCCUCUGCUUUGAGGAAGCCUUUUUCACACAGCCUUCUCUGAGGCUGGGUUAGGCAUUUCUCUGUCUACACCCCUCGGUCCUCUUAUCUCCUGCUGUCUUGGCACUUGACACAUCCCUCCAGGUUACCCUAUAGGCAUGCCCUUGACCCCUGCCCCCAGGCUUGAAGGCAGGAACCCUGUGCUUUCUGUCAGAGCUUCAGACAGAUCUUCCUUACAUCCUUAUUUUUUCUUUUCCCUGCUGCUUCUGCAGCAUAUGGAAGUUCCCAGGCUAGGGGUCAAGUCAAAGCUGCCAGCAGAACACCACAGCCAUGGCAACACUGAAUCUGAGCUGUAUCUGUGACCUACACCAGAGUUUGUAGCAAUGAUGGAUCCUUUACCUACCGAGGGAAGCCAGGGAUCAAACCUGCAUCUUCACAGACAGUAUGUUUGGUUCUUAACCCACUGAACCACAAUAGAACCUCUCAUUAUAUCCUUCUUGAAUGAGGGAAAACACAUUUCAAGUGCCAAAAGAUUCAAAUAGGUUACUUCCCACCCUUCACUCUGUCUUUUGUCCAAUAGAUGUCAUUUGUCUAAAGAGAAACACCAUUUACUUGUGGUACUUCUGUUUAUAGGGCUCAGCAUACUUCCCUAGACUUUCACUUCAUUUUAAAAAAUAGACAAAAUCCAUUUUUUCUCACGCUGCCUGUAAAGUCUUAGGUGCUAAGCUGGAACAGAAAUGGUAGAAGGAGCCUAGUAGCAAUCGUGUGAAGUUUUAACUGAUACCACAGAUACCAAAUAGAAGCAAUGCAGGCAAAACAGAAGAAAAAUAUUUGCAUAUUAAAAACAGUAAAGACAAAAAAUAUUGAUGAAAUGUUUUCCUAUAAAGUAGACAUUUUUUGGUGGGUUUCUUUCAAAAAUAGAACAAAUUGGGAAAUAAAAUACAUGCAAUUUUUUUUAAGGGCUGCACCUGCGGGAUAUGGAAGUUCCCAGGCUAGCAUGUUGAAUUGGAGAUGCAGCUGCUAGCCUACACCACAGCCAUGGCAUUGUGGGAUCCAAGCCACAUCUUCAACCUACACCACAGCCCACAGCAAUGCCAGAUUAACCCACUUGAGCUUAACCACUAAUCGAGGCCAGGGAUCAAACCUGCAUCCUCAUGCAUACUAGUCAUGU
RNAcentral lists this long non-coding RNA (1277 nucleotides) under Sus scrofa (pig). RNAcentral's name for it is "lncRNA (ENSSSCG00040042866.1)". The record is from RNAcentral. Lineage: Eukaryota; Metazoa; Chordata; Mammalia; Artiodactyla; Suidae.